GACGAACGCUGGCGGCGUGCUUAACACAUGCAAGUCGAACGGAAAGGCUCCAGCUUGCUGGAGUACUCGAGUGGCGAACGGGUGAGUAACACGUGGGUAAUCUGCCCUGCACUCUGGGAUAAGCCUGGGAAACUGGGUCUAAUACUGGAUAUGACCUUUCUCCUUAUGGGGUUUGGUGGAAAGUUUUUCGGUGUAGGAUGAGCCCGCGGCCUAUCAGCUUGUUGGUGGGGUGAUGGCCUACCAAGGCGACGACGGGUAGCCGGCCUGAGAGGGUGAUCGGCCACAUUGGGACUGAGAUACGGCCCAGACUCCUACGGGAGGCAGCAGUGGGGAAUAUUGCACAAUGGGCGGAAGCCUGAUGCAGCGACGCCGCGUGAGGGAUGACGGCCUUCGGGUUGUAAACCUCUUUCAGCAGGGACGAAGCGUAAGUGACGGUACCUGCAGAAGAAGUACCGGCUAACUAUGUG
Molecule: ribosomal RNA, 467 nt
Filed under: uncultured bacterium
Lineage: Bacteria
Description: partial 16S ribosomal RNA
Rfam family: Bacterial small subunit ribosomal RNA
Source: RNAcentral